UUGGGAAGUCCUCGUGCUGCACCC
Molecule: ribosomal RNA, 24 nt
Filed under: Metrosideros excelsa (New Zealand Christmas tree)
Lineage: Eukaryota; Viridiplantae; Streptophyta; Magnoliopsida; Myrtales; Myrtaceae
Also listed under: 1 other name
Source: RNAcentral